AAUCAACGCUGGCGGCGUGCCUCAGACAUGCAAGUCGAACGCGAAAGUUUCCUUCGGGAGCGAGUAGAGUGGCGUCCGGGUGAGUAACACGUAGGUAAUCUACCUUUGGGUGGGGAAUAACAACCGGAAACGGUUGCUAAUACCGCAUAAUGCAGCGGCACCACAUGGUGACAGUUGUUAAAGCGGGGGAUCGCAAGACCUCGCGCCUAAAGAGAGCCUGCGGCGGAUUAGCUAGNGGUAAGGUAACGGCUUACCAAGGCAACGAUCCGUAGCCGGCCUGANAGGGCGGUCGGGCCACACUGACACUGAAAUACGGGUCAGACUCCUACGGGAGGCAGCAGUCGGGAAUUUUGGGCAAUGGGCGAAAGCCUGACCCAGCAACG
This 383-nucleotide ribosomal RNA is filed under the name uncultured bacterium. RNAcentral's name for it is "bacterial SSU rRNA". It matches the Rfam family "Bacterial small subunit ribosomal RNA", at positions 32 to 396 of the family's 1533-position model. The record is from RNAcentral.